Molecule: ribosomal RNA, 590 nt
Filed under: uncultured Bacillus sp.
Lineage: Bacteria; Bacillati; Bacillota; Bacilli; Caryophanales; Bacillaceae
Description: bacterial SSU rRNA
Rfam family: Bacterial small subunit ribosomal RNA
Source: RNAcentral
ACUCCUACGGGAAGCAGCAGUAGGGAAUCUUCCGCAAUGGACGAAAGUCUGACGGAGCAACGCCGCGUGAGUGAUGAAGGUUUUCGGAUCGUAAAGCUCUGUUGUUAGGGAAGAACAAGUGCAAGAGUAACUGCUUGCACCUUGACGGUACCUAACCAGAAAGCCACGGCUAACUACGUGCCAGCAGCCGCGGUAAUACGUAGGUGGCAAGCGUUGUCCGGAAUUAUUGGGCGUAAAGGGCUCGCAGGCGGUUUCUUAAGUCUGAUGUGAAAGCCCCCGGCUCAACCAGGGAGGGUCAUUGGAAACUGGGAAACUUGAGUGCAGAAGAGGAGAGUGGAAUUCCACGUGUAGCGGUGAAAUGCGUAGAGAUGUGGAGGAACACCAGUGGCGAAGGCGACUCUCUGGUCUGUAACUGACGCUGAGGAGCGAAAGCGUGGGGAGCGAACAGGAUUAGAUACCCUGGUAGUCCACGCCGUAAACGAUGAGUGCUAAGUGUUAGGGGGUUUCCGCCCCUUAGUGCUGCAGCUAACGCAUUAAGCACUCCGCCUGGGGAGUACGGUCGCAAGACUGAAACUCAAAUGAAUUGACGG